RNAcentral lists this small nucleolar RNA (55 nucleotides) under Pyrococcus abyssi GE5. Its description in RNAcentral is "Small nucleolar RNA sR36". It matches the Rfam family "Small nucleolar RNA sR36". The record is from Rfam by way of RNAcentral. Lineage: Archaea; Methanobacteriati; Methanobacteriota; Thermococci; Thermococcales; Thermococcaceae.
GUGGAUGAGGAGAGGGUAGGUAGCUGAGUUAUGAUGAACUAAUCGGCCCCCGACA